CCUCGCUCUGCUGGGGCCUCCGGACGCGCUCCCCACGCGGGUCUCUGGAACACUCGGGCCGAACGCCCGCCCGCUUGCACUCACACUGCGGUUCACACCCGCAGGCGCUCUCGCACCCACACUGCCGCUCACGCGCGCUCACACUCCCCAACGCGCGCUCCGCUCCGGCUCCAGCCCCGCGCCCCGCGAAGGCGCAGGCACUGCUGCCGAAAGCGCCUAGGGGCCCCGCGGCCUUCCCAUGGCGGACCUGAGCUUCAUCGAAGAUACCGUCGCCUUCCCCGAGAAGGAAGAGGAUGAGGAGGAAGAAGAGGAGGGUGUGGAGUGGGGCUACGAGGAAGGUGUUGAGUGGGGUCUGGUGUUUCCUGAUGCUAAUGGGGAAUACCAGUCUCCUAUUAACCUAAACUCAAGAGAGGCUAGGUAUGACCCCUCGCUGUUGGAUGUCCGCCUCUCCCCAAAUUAUGUGGUGUGCCGAGACUGUGAAGUCACCAAUGAUGGACAUACCAUUCAGGUUAUCCUGAAGUCAAAAUCAGUUCUUUCGGGAGGACCAUUGCCUCAAGGGCAUGAAUUUGAACUGUACGAAGUGAGAUUUCACUGGGGAAGAGAAAACCAGCGUGGUUCUGAGCACACGGUUAAUUUCAAAGCUUUUCCCAUGGAGCUCCAUCUGAUCCACUGGAACUCCACUCUGUUUGGCAGCAUUGAUGAGGCUGUGGGGAAGCCGCACGGAAUCGCCAUCAUUGCUCUGUUUGUUCAGAUAGGAAAGGAACAUGUUGGCUUGAAGGCUGUGACUGAAAUCCUCCAAGAUAUUCAGUAUAAGGGGAAGUCCAAAACAAUACCUUGCUUUAAUCCUAACACUUUAUUACCAGACCCUCUGCUGCGGGAUUACUGGGUGUAUGAAGGCUCUCUCACCAUCCCACCUUGCAGUGAAGGUGUCACCUGGAUAUUAUUCCGAUACCCUUUAACUAUAUCCCAGCUACAGAUAGAAGAAUUUCGAAGGCUGAGGACACAUGUUAAGGGGGCAGAACUUGUGGAAGGCUGUGAUGGGAUUUUGGGAGACAACUUUCGGCCCACUCAGCCUCUUAGUGACAGAGUCAUUAGAGCUGCAUUUCAGUAGCCAAAGAGGACAGGAACAAGUCUGUCUUCAUGAGGGUAUGUCCAGAUUAAGUAAGGAAAAUGAGGCGCACAGCUACUUAAACCUAGCGUACCAAAGGUACACUUAUUGUGAUCCUGGUAAUUUAGUAAUAAAAGCAUAUGUACUUCAUCUUGAUAAAAUUUAUGACACAUUCUUGAGCUCUGUUAAUUACAGGUCAAGUAGUUAUUUUAAUUUUAUGCAGUAUUGAAGAAAAACUAUGAUUAUAUUUUCCUAUCAGAGUAGCCUUUAAUUCCAAGUUUUGGUGGCUUUCAUAAGAACAGACACCCUCAGGCCCAGAAAAAGUGACAUGCAUGCAUACCUCUUUAGUAACUUACCAUGUUGUCCUCUUGAAGCAGCACCAGUCAUGUCCCAGUGACCAAGGAGCACAUAGGAGGGGACUUGGGGAGCGUGUGAGCCUCAGUGUGGACCCUUCUCGUCUCCUGCAGAAUUGAUCCUCUUGUUUCUCAGGGGGAGGGAGCAUAUCUGGCAUGCAUUGAAAUACUUCUUCUAUGGAAGUGCCUUUUAUAUGAUAAAUUGAGAAGCACUUAUUAAUUAUCUGAAUAUGAUACACUAUUGAUUGAAACAUAAUCUAUGUAUUUUAAUAUAUAGAAUUCAAUGUUAUGUAUUCCUUACUCUUAAGGAACUAACAAAAUAAAAUAUCACAAACAUGGACGAGAUAAAAUGUAAAAAAGACUAUA
Molecule: small RNA, 1827 nt
Filed under: Pan troglodytes (chimpanzee)
Lineage: Eukaryota; Metazoa; Chordata; Mammalia; Primates; Hominidae
Description: retained intron
Source: RNAcentral